RNAcentral lists this unclassified non-coding RNA (457 nucleotides) under uncultured fungus. Its description in RNAcentral is "sequence contains 18S rRNA gene, ITS1, 5.8S rRNA gene, ITS2, 28S rRNA gene". The record is from RNAcentral. Lineage: Eukaryota; Fungi.
AGAAUGGGAUCGAGUUUGUACGAUCCGGCUGUUUUUGACAGGCGCGCCCAAUGGCCUCGAUAUUCCAGCGCGAUGCUUAUGGAAUAGCCGGCUUCCAACUUUCUUCCACACGCGGGAGCCGGCGGACCGUCGCCAUUUGUCAGCAGGAUCACGAGAUCCUCGGCUCCAGCCAUUCUCAGGCGUCUCUCCAACCGGCCAACGAAUUCAUGAUCGAGUUUUCCGACCCCUCCGGCAAGUUCCUCGUCCAAUGCCUCGCGCACCAUUGCCGCAGCCUUGCGCCGCAUCGCAAUCUCAUGUUCAUCGUUCCCUGGCUGGAAGACAGCAUCCGAUUCCACGUUGACCAACUCGAGAGUUCCUGCUCGCAACGCCUUUGAGAGAUCGUAGGGCAGCUGCCCUGCAUCGAGCACACCGACUUUCGUCCAGCCGCGUUCUUCCGCGAUUUCACCCAGUGGCUUCG